AAGGCCAAAAUGGACUCACUUGGUGGAGCCAAUUAAACUGUGUUGCCUGAGAAGAGUCCCAUGGCACAACCUUUCCUGGUUCCCAAAUCAAAUCAAUGAAGAAAAUUCUUGCCCACUGGAAAGGAGAGCAUCUCUUUGAGAUCUGAAUGGAUUAUAAGUUCCCAAGGCUCUAUGGACCAUAUGUAUGAUUUUUUCCCUGCAUCUUUGAAGCUUCCCCAGAGGUAAAUGCAUCUCUUAAAAGUGCUUUUUGAUGGGGAUGAAACAAAAGAAGAAAGGUUUCUGGAAGCAGACUUUCUGGGAAUUGCCAGAGAAAGCUGUCCAGAGGUCAGAGGGUGGCUAUUCUUCUGUCUGAAGCGGCUUUAAAGAAAUC
Molecule: long non-coding RNA, 370 nt
Organism: Hipposideros armiger (great roundleaf bat)
Lineage: Eukaryota; Metazoa; Chordata; Mammalia; Chiroptera; Hipposideridae
Exons: 3
Source: RefSeq, a predicted model, not a curated record